GGUGGCUCAGUGGCAGAGUGCUUGCCUUGCAUGCAUAAGGCCCUGGGUUCGAUUCCUCAGCACCA
This 65-nucleotide transfer RNA is filed under the name Dipodomys ordii (Ord's kangaroo rat). It matches the Rfam family "tRNA". From Rfam's summary of the family: Transfer RNA (tRNA) molecules are approximately 80 nucleotides in length. Their secondary structure includes four short double-helical elements and three loops (D, anti-codon, and T loops). Further hydrogen bonds mediate the characteristic L-shaped molecular structure. tRNAs have two regions of fundamental functional importance: the anti-codon, which is responsible for specific mRNA codon recognition, and the 3' end, to which the tRNAs corresponding amino acid is attached (by aminoacyl-tRNA synthetases). tRNAs cope with the degeneracy of the genetic code in two manners: having more than one tRNA (with a specific anti-codon) for a particular amino acid; and 'wobble' base-pairing, i.e. permitting non-standard base-pairing at the 3rd anti-codon position. Lineage: Eukaryota; Metazoa; Chordata; Mammalia; Rodentia; Heteromyidae. The record is from Rfam by way of RNAcentral.